This 398-nucleotide ribosomal RNA is filed under the name uncultured bacterium. RNAcentral describes it as "partial 16S ribosomal RNA". It matches the Rfam family "Bacterial small subunit ribosomal RNA", at positions 523 to 918 of the family's 1533-position model. The record is from RNAcentral.
AGACGUAGGGCGCGAGCGUUGUCCAGAUUUAUUGGGCGUAAAGAGCUCGUAGGCGGCUUGUUGCGUCGUCCGUGAAAACCUGGGGCUCAACUCCAGGCUUGCGGUCGAUACGGGCAGGCUAGAGUUCGGUAGGGGAGACUGGAAUUCCUGGUGUAGCGAUGAAAUGCGCAGAUAUCAGGAGGAACACCGGUGGCGAAGGCGGGUCUCUGGGCCGAUACUGACGCUGAGGAGCGAAAGCGUGGGGAGCGAACAGGAUUAGAUACCCUGGUAGUCCACGCUGUAAACGUUGGGCGCUAGGUGUGGGGGGCCUCUCCGGUUUCCUGCGCCGUAGCUAACGCAUUAAGCGCCCCGCCUGGGGAGUACGGCCGCAAGGCUAAAACUCAAAUGAAUUGACGGGG